AUUGAACGCUGGCGGCAGGCCUAACACAUGCAAGUCGAACGAGUGGCGGACGGGUGAGUAAUGUCUGGGAAACUGCCUGAUGGAGGGGGAUAACUACUGGAAACGGUAGCUAAUACCGCAUACCAUCAGAUGUGCCCAGAUUGGAUUAGCUUGUUGGUGGGGUAACGGCUCACCAAGGCGACGAUCCCUAGCUGGUUUGAGAGGAUGACCAGCCACCCUGGAACUGGGACACGGUCCAGACUCCUACGGGAGGCAGCAGGGGGGAAUAUUGCACCAGUGGCGCAAUCCUGCUGCAGCCAUGCCGCGUGUAUGAAGAAGGCCUUCUGGUUGUAAAGUACUUUCAGCAGGGAGGCGUUACCCGCAGAAGAAGCACCGGCUAACUCCGUGCCAGCCGCCGCGGUAAUAC
This 406-nucleotide ribosomal RNA is filed under the name uncultured bacterium. RNAcentral's name for it is "partial 16S ribosomal RNA". It matches the Rfam family "Bacterial small subunit ribosomal RNA", at positions 30 to 526 of the family's 1533-position model. The record is from RNAcentral.